CCUACGGGUGGCAGCAGUGGGGAAUAUUGGACAAUGGGCGAAAGCCUGAUCCAGCCAUGCCGCGUGUGUGAAGAAGGCCUUCGGGUUGUAAAGCACUUUCAGUGGGGAAGAAAGCCUUGGGGCUAAUACCCUCGAGGAAGGACAUCACCCACAGAAGAAGCACCGGCUAACUCCGUGCCAGCAGCCGCGGUAAUACGGAGGGUGCGAGCGUUAAUCGGAAUUACUGGGCGUAAAGCGCGCGUAGGCGGUCUGAUAAGCCGGUUGUGAAAGCCCCGGGCUCAACCUGGGAACGGCAUCCGGAACUGUCAGGCUAGAGUGCAGGAGAGGAAGGUAGAAUUCCCGGUGUAGCGGUGAAAUGCGUAGAGAUCGGGAGGAAUACCAGUGGCGAAGGCGGCCUUCUGGACUGACACUGACGCUGAGGUGCGAAAGCGUGGGUAGCAAACAGGAUUAGAUACCCCUGAUC
This 463-nucleotide ribosomal RNA is filed under the name Vreelandella stevensii. RNAcentral's name for it is "partial 16S ribosomal RNA". It matches the Rfam family "Bacterial small subunit ribosomal RNA", at positions 338 to 792 of the family's 1533-position model. The record is from RNAcentral. Lineage: Bacteria; Pseudomonadati; Pseudomonadota; Gammaproteobacteria; Oceanospirillales; Halomonadaceae.